Cervus elaphus (red deer) is the source of this 2693-nucleotide long non-coding RNA. RefSeq lists it as uncharacterized. NCBI's taxonomy places the organism in Eukaryota, Metazoa, Chordata, Mammalia, Artiodactyla, Cervidae. The transcript has 2 exons. The record is from RefSeq and is a predicted model, not a curated record.
ACUAGGCUGGGUAGCCAUUCCCUUCUCCAGGGGAUCUUUCCAACCCAGGGAUUAAACCUGGGUCUCCUGCAUUGCAGGGAGAUUCUUUACCACCUGAGCCACCAGGGAAGCCCACCAUAGAUAUCUAACCUGCAUCUGGUAAGGAUCAUGGCUUAGGUCUAUAUCGCUUCUUGCUAGUAAGUUCUAGUCUCGUAAAAAACCCAAUUCAUCCAUACUUGUCUCUGUUCUGUAUACUUCACUUUCAAGCGAAUGUCAUAGAUAUGUAUGCAUAUCACUAUCAAUAUACUGUUUAGUGGGCUUUCCCUGUGUUUCAGCAGUAAAGAAUCCACCUGCCAAUGCAAAAGACAUAAGAGAUACAGGUUCAAUCCCUGGGUUGAGAAGAUCCCCUGGAGGAGGGCAUGGCAAUCCACUCCAGUAUUCUUGCCUGGAGAAUUUCAUGGACAAAGGAGCCUGGCAGGCUGCAAUUCAUAAAGUCUCAAAGAGCCAGACACAACUGAAGCAACUUAGCCCAACUGCUUAGCAAAGUUACCCAAGCAGUCACCCAGGGCGUAGGUCAGAAUACUAAAAAUAUCAAGGGGCACAUAAAGUUACAGAGCGAUAGAUUAAGUGCUUUAAAGACAAACAAAGCCAGAUCUGAAACUGUUCUAGCUUUUGCUUAUUACAUAUCUUUCAGGAAAUUAAUUUCUUUGAGCCUUGGUAUUCUCUCUGGAAAAGGAAGAUUAAAAUAAAGAUCUCCUUGGCUGGAUUAAAAAAAAACACUUUAUUGGAAUAUAGUUGAUUUACAAUAUUGUGUUAGUUUCUGCUAUACAGAAAAGUGGAUCAGUUGUAUAUAUAUAUCCACUCUUUUUUAGAUUAUUUUCCCUUGUAGGCCUUUACAGAGUACUGAGUAGAGUUCUCUGUGCCAUACAGUAGGUCCUUACUAGUUGUCUCUUUGGUGAAUGGAUAAAAGACAAUUAAUUCAGUGCCUGGAUAGUUGCUCAAUGAAUUGAUCUGCUAUUAUUAGAAAGUAAUGGUAUUCCCUCAAACCUUUGUGUGGGUGCUUAGUCAUGUCUGAUUCUGUGAUCCCAUGGGCUGUAACCCACCAGGUUCCUCUGUCCACAGGGAUUCUCCAUGCAAGAAUACUGGAGUGGGUUGCCAUGCCCUCUUGCAGGGGAUCUUCCCAACCCAGGGAUCAAACCCAGGUCUUCUGCAAUGCAGGUAGAUUCUUUAUCAUAUGAGUCACCAGCUCAGAACUUGUUUUCUUAAUUGCGUUGACUGGAAAUGGGAAGUGCUUAGCAAUCAAUCAGUAAUAUUUCAGGCCAGAUGGCAAAGCAGAGACAGGAAAUAAAAACACUCAACAGAGUAACUGCCAAACCCCCAGGCUACAAUUUUGUUAUCUAGAGCAUAAUCAAUCCACCAAAUCAAUGCAAAGUGUUUCAGAAACAGCCUUAUCUCUCAUUGCCUUUAUGGUAGAACAGAAACAUUACACUAAAAAUAGAAAGCAUGCCACUUCAUGUCUGCAUAAAGUGAUAAAGAAACUGUGUCAGACAAAUAGCAUAUUUGUAAGCUUUAUCCUCAUCAAGCACAAUUUUUUUCAGUGUUUUAACAAAUUUUUCAUUUGUUAACUUUGUACAAUUUGUUUCAAUUGUAGUCUUUUGUUUUGUUUUUUAGGGUUCUAUUGUUUUUUUCUGUUUUACAGUCAGAGAAAUAAUAAAUUGAGCUAUUCAUUCUUCUGAGUGUCCCAGAAACUGAAAGGUAUUGGUAUCUUCUCAAGAAAUCCUGUUCUCCUAGCUUCCCAUGUUUGAUUCUUGAUGAAAGAACUGAUAAGAGUUGUAUUUCAAACUCUGUCUCCUGAAAAAGUCAGAGCCCACACUGCAGUUAAUGGGUCACUGUUCUGUCCACCCAGAGAAUAGAAGCCACACAGAGAAAGAUGUUUGCUCAAGCAAGAGACUGAGUCCAUCAAGAAAAUAAGAAGGAAAGAUAGUAGAUAGAGAGACUUCAAGACAAUACAGUGACCUGUAUAGGUCCUUCUGGAAAAGAUAUAAAAGUACAAAGAAAAGGCUGAAGGCUUGCACAAAAUAAAAAUGGAAAUGAAGAGGUGAAAAGACAAGUGAGCUGUGUUUUUCCCAGUCUCAGACUGUCUUGUAUAAUUCAGAGGAAACUCUUCACCCAGCCCUCAUACCCAUCUGGACCUCACAUUCAUGCUACUGUGCUUGGGUCAUUAGUCUUCUGGCCACUGAUUUUUCUCUCAGAAAUCACAUGCUGCCCUCUGUCUCCUAACGUGAGAAAUAUCUCCAGUGCUCUAUCCGUCAAUUUUCCACCCGCUGCACAAAACUAACAAAAACUACUAGAGGAGCAAGCAUAAAUGGCCCUUAUAAACCAUAGGAGGUUUAUUUUAAAAUACUGUUAGCAUCAAUUAAGUUGUGAGGACACCAAGCCAUGGUACACUAGGGAAUCAGAGAACAUGGGAGGCAGCAGCAUGCAUUGUGAACCACACUUCAACCCUGGGCAAGGAGGAAUUAAAGGCGCUACUGACUAAAGACACUAAAAAGGGAUGAAAAUGACCACUGCCCGCCACUGACAGAAACACAGGUUUUAGGUUUCACUGGGAUUAGCUGACUUCAGUUAAUAUACAAAGUGGUUCUCUAGAUCCCAUUGCCUUUCUUAUCUGUUAUUUGCAAGAGAAUUAACAAUAAAGAAAAUGAUUUCAGUGA